This 272-nucleotide unclassified non-coding RNA is filed under the name Hevea brasiliensis (rubber tree). Lineage: Eukaryota; Viridiplantae; Streptophyta; Magnoliopsida; Malpighiales; Euphorbiaceae. The record is from RNAcentral.
UCCAAGUCAAAUAUCAAUUAUGUCCCCUUAUAUAAUAUCAUGCAGAUUAAAAAACCAAUGUAAGCCACAGAGGCAAAACCAAUACAAGCCACACACUAAACCAAUCAAGAAAGAACCACAUUACUAAUCCUGCCACAAACUCAUAUGACUCAUCACCUAAAAUUUAUCACUUCACCACAUAAAUCUUAAAAUUCAGUUAUGCAUCAUCAAAAUAUAUGCUAACAAUCCAAAUUCCCAUCUCUUUCUCUAGCAAUUCUAAGCAACCAAUAAAU